Molecule: long non-coding RNA, 561 nt
Organism: Prosopis cineraria
Lineage: Eukaryota; Viridiplantae; Streptophyta; Magnoliopsida; Fabales; Fabaceae
Exons: 2
Source: RefSeq, a predicted model, not a curated record
CAUACUCUCUUCUUUUUCCUACUCUCUCUCUCCCCCUACCUUUGCAGCUUAAUUAGUUAGCUACCCACCUUCAUCAUCUUCUUGAAGAUGAAUCAUAGCCAAAACGAUGCGUUCCACAAGACCGGUGGCGGCAGCGGCGACGAUGAAGGAUGUUAUGUCCACCGGAGACGGUGGCGUUGGUGAUGUCAAAUAACGCAACACAACACAAGAAAACGAAAAGGCUUUGCAAUUACGCUCUCCUGAGUUUCUAGCCCCCUCUGGUACGUACGUGCGAGAGGGGCAGAAUUGGGAGAUCGUUAUUAUUGCAUUGCGGGGAAUUGAGGCAUGGGAUGUAAGAGAUGCAUACGAGGUUAUAGCUAUGAGCUUCUGAGGUGGGUUUGGUUCAAAGUUUGGAUUUUUGGGACCAUAUUUCAUGUUUGAAGGGUUUUGAUCUCUCUUUAGAGAGAGAGAGAGAGAAGGAUAGAGAGAGAGGGACUUGGUUUGUUGUUAGUAUUGAUGCUGCUUGGCAUGCAUCACUUACACCCAUCAAUGAUAUGCAUUUUUAUUUUGCUUUUUCUUUUU